GCUGAUUUAGCUCAGUAGGCAGAGCGCAUCCAUGGUAAGGAUGAGGUCGCCGGUUCGAUCCCGGCAAUUAGCAUCA
RNAcentral lists this transfer RNA (76 nucleotides) under Streptococcus infantis ATCC 700779. Its description in RNAcentral is "tRNA-Thr". It matches the Rfam family "tRNA". Rfam says of the family: Transfer RNA (tRNA) molecules are approximately 80 nucleotides in length. Their secondary structure includes four short double-helical elements and three loops (D, anti-codon, and T loops). Lineage: Bacteria; Bacillati; Bacillota; Bacilli; Lactobacillales; Streptococcaceae. RNAcentral also lists the same sequence under 8 other names. The record is from RNAcentral.